Rhododendron vialii is the source of this 3575-nucleotide RNA transcript. It is a transcript of the gene named protein FAR1-RELATED SEQUENCE 5-like, with no coding region annotated. Lineage: Eukaryota; Viridiplantae; Streptophyta; Magnoliopsida; Ericales; Ericaceae. The record is from RefSeq and is a predicted model, not a curated record. The transcript has 7 exons.
CUAUUUCCCCUGUAUUCUCUUCCUCUCCGAGCAGCUGAAGACGACGCCCUAGAAUUUCGAUUACUCUGAUACCCAAAUACAGGCCUGCGAUUUUGACGUCACCCCCAAAUACUACUGCGUCUUCUCCCUUUCUUCUCUCAGGUCCAUGGCUGGUAGUGAGACUGAUGUACCAAUUCAUCAAAUUGAAGAGGAAGUGGAAGACAUAUCCCCAACAUCAACUGGGCUAGACGUUGAUGUGGAGCUGGAGUGUCAAAGCUUGGAAGUUUCAACCUCUAUAAAGAGUGGGGUUGACAUUGUUGGUGAGAAAAUGUGCCAAAGCAAAAAAGCUUCCGUUAUUGCCAACAAUGGGGAAGAUUUUGAUGGAGAACAAGUGUAUAAGAGCUCAGAAAGUUCUGUUGACAAAAAUGGGAUGGACAACCAGGGGAUGGAUAUGGAUAUGGAUAGUAAGCUGGAAUAUCAGAGCCCUAAUGAUCCAUUGGUAGACAUAGCAGAGUCUACAAACUUUUGUGAAACAGUUGAAGCUGAUGAAUAUGUCGUACCAGAACUUGGCGUGGAGUUUGAAUCAGAAGAUCAUGCAUACAGGUGCUACAAUACAUAUGCUGCACUGGGAGGUUUCAGCAUUAGGAAAGAUUUCAUAAAUAAAAGUAGGGCUAACGGUUAUGUCUUAUCGAGAAGAUACACUUGUUAUAAAGAAGGUUAUCGGCGAACCAAGGGUAAUGCAGAUGUUAAGAAGCCCCGAAAGGAUACAAGAACCGGUUGCUUGGCAUAUAUGACUAUUGCCCGUCAACCAAAUGGCAAGUAUCGAGUUCUACAUUUUGAGAACAAACAUAAUCAUGAGUUUGCAACCCCAUUUACUGCCCAUCUGUUACCGUCAGUGAGGAGAACAACUUUUGCAGAAGCUGUUGAAUCUGAAUUAGCUGACUCAGAGACAAAAGGGGUACCAAAACUUGGAAUGGGAUUUGAUUCAGAAGAUCAAGCAUAUGAGUUCUACAAUGCGUACGCCGGACGUGUGGGUUUUAGUGUUCGGAAGGACUAUGUGAAUAAAAGUAAGGUGGAUGGUGCGGUGGCGUCUAGAAGGUUCACUUGUUUUAGAGAAGGGUUCAGGCAAAAGGACAGAAAGGAUUCAAAUGUAAAGAGACCUAGAAAGGAAACAAGAAUUGGUUGUUUGGCACACUUGGUCAUUGCACGUCACCCUGAUGGUAAAUAUCGCAUCACGCGGUUUGAAGAAGAACACAAUCAUGAGCUUGUUCCCUUUUGUAGGGUCCGCAUGUUAAGGUCUCAGAAGAGUGCUGCAGAAGCCACUGCGGUAGAUGAUUCUGGAAUUCAGACAAAUGCAGCUUCUGACUUAAUAAUCAAACCAGUUGCUGCAGGGGAGACAUUGGUUUAUCAGCCUGUUGAUUAUAAAAGUAAUCUACCGGCAAAGCGCAUGAGAGAGAUGAGGCAGGGAGAGUCAGAAAGUAUUCUUCAAUAUUUUGAAAACAAGCAAUUAAAAGACCCUUCUUUCUUUUAUGCUGUACAACUCGAUGUUGAAGGUGAAAUGACAAAUGUUUUUUGGGCUGAUCCAAAGAUGGUGGAGGAUUUCGGGGAUUUUGGUGACGUGGUUUGCUUUGAUAUGACUUACAAACUAGGCAAAGAUUGCCGACCUUUUGCACCAAUUAUUGGAGUGAAUCAUCAUAAGCAGAUGGUGGCCUUUGGUGCGGCACUUUUAUAUGAUGAAACUGUUCAAUCUUUUCAAUGGCUAUUUCAAAAAUUUCUGGAGGCUGUGUCUGGAAAGAAGCCAAAGACAAUCCUCACAGACGAAGAUGCAACAAUGGCUGAAGCAAUCUCUUCGGCAUAUCCAGAAGCACACCAUCGAUUAUGUGCAUGGCAUGUGUACCAAAAUACACUCAAACACCUUAGUGAUGUUAUUGUAGGCUUGGAUUCUUUUGCCAAUGAUUUAAGCAGUUGCAUUUUUAAUCAUGACGAGGAGCAGGAUUUCGUUGAUGCAUGGAAGGCUAUGCUGGACAUGUAUGGUCUUUGGGAAAAUGAGUGGUUGAAUGACAUAUUCAAAGAAAGAGAGAAAUGGGCUUUACCAUAUGGAAGACACAUUUUUUGUGCUGACAUAAAAAGUGCUCAACUCUCUGAAUGUUUCAGUACUACUAGCUUGAGAAAGUACCUAAAGUCUGACUUAGAUGUUCGUACAUUUUUCAAGCACUUUGGAAGGGUGGUGAGUGAUUGGCGCUACAAAGAGAUAGAAGCUAAUUAUGAUAUGAGUCAGCGAAUGCCAAGGCUAAUGGGGGAUGUGAUUCUAUUGAAGCAUGCAAGGGAUCUUUACACACCAACGAUUUUCGAAUCGUUUCAGCAAGAAUAUGAAAAUUGUCUCAAUGCUGUUGUUAACCAAUGCACUGAAAUCAAGUCAUUAGUUGAGUACAAAGUUAGCGUAUAUGGGCAAGUACUAGAGCACACCAUCAUAUUCAACUCAUCUGAAGAUUCGGUUGUGUGCAACUGUAUGAAGUUCCAGUUUGUUGGGGUGUUGUGUAGCCAUGCACUAAAGGUGCUUGAUUAUAGGAACAUAAAAGUUGUUCCUACACGAUACAUCUUGAAGAGGUGGACAAAAGAUGCAAGGGCUUGAAUAUGUCUAGAUGGUAUUGGUGUCUGCAAGUCAGCUUGCAAGGAGACAUCAGAUUGUCUAAGAUAAGUACCCCAUCAGCAGAUAAAAGCAGUACACAAAAAAGUUAAAGGAAAAGGGUACACACGAACGAAAAUUUAGAAUAUUUCCACAGAAUGCAGCUAACUUGAGGAAAUUCUUGGAGCAGCUUUUCUUAGAUGAAGCUGUCUCUGGCGGUGGGGAGGUUAUACCUCGCGAUGGGCUGGAACUUGGCUUUCCUCUUCCUAUCUUGGGUGAACAUGCUGCGAUGCAGGUAAUAUGGUGAUUGCUGCUAAUAUUGAAUAUGAAGUAUUUGCAGCAGUAAUGAUUGGAAGAAAGAGAUACCUUGACGUUCUUUAUCUGAUCUUUUGCUGCUUCUCUUUCAUUAUAGAAAUCAGGCACUGAAGGACUUUGAACAACUGUAAUACAAAUGCCAUUUUUUCAGGAGAAUUAGAGCCUCUUCUAAUUGAAUGGAACAAAUACUGCUCUGAAAGACUCGUGGCACGUUCAAGUUUAACAGUAACACAGUAUCUUCUUUUUCAUAUCUUAUCAUCAGGAGUAGACUUUGGAGUCAAUUUCAGUUUAUCCGUGGAGUGUGUUGCAGUAUUCCGGGUCAGUGGAGUGGCAUUAUUUUCCCUCCCGGGGUGAAUAGGAGCUGCUGGUUUGGCAGGUGAAGCUGGAACUCUUGGUGCUCUUUGGUGAGCAGCUGAAUUCGAAGACAAAAAUUCUGGUUUCACCUUGCCAUUCUCCGCUUUCUGUAGCUCCGCAUUUGAAUUAUCAUCAUUUCCAUGGACAACAUUGGAGUGCUUCAUCGAAUUAUCAAUAGAUUGUUGUUCAAAUUCUGGUUGCGCGUGGUUAUUGGCUGCAUUUGCUUGCUCAAGCAAGGCUGCAGCCUUCUUAGCGGCAAUGCUCUUGUAAUGAGCUUCAAAGAAAGCUUUCUUUUGUGCCA